This 433-nucleotide ribosomal RNA is filed under the name uncultured bacterium. RNAcentral's name for it is "partial 16S ribosomal RNA". It matches the Rfam family "Bacterial small subunit ribosomal RNA", at positions 29 to 507 of the family's 1533-position model. The record is from RNAcentral.
AACGAACGCUGGCGGCAUGCCUAACACAUGCAAGUCGAACGAGACCUUCGGGUCUAGUGGCGCACGGGUGCGUAACGCGUGGGAACCUGCCCUUAGGUUCGGAAUAACUCCCCGAAAGGGGUGCUAAUACCGGAUAAUGUCUUCGGACCAAAGAUUUAUCGCCUUUGGAUGGGCCCGCGUUGGAUUAGCUAGUUGGUAGGGUAAAAGCCUACCAAGGCGACGAUCCAUAGCUGGUCUGAGAGGAUGAUCAGCCUCACUGGGACUGAGACACGGCCCAGACUCCUACGGGAGGCAGCAGUGGGGAAUAUUGGACAAUGGGCGAAAGCCUGAUCCAGCAAUGCUGCGUGAGUGAUGAAGGCCUUAGGGUUGUAAAGCUCUUUUACCCGGGAUGAUAAUGACAGUACCGGGAGAAUAAGCGCCGGCUAACUCCGUG